This 293-nucleotide ribosomal RNA is filed under the name uncultured bacterium. Its description in RNAcentral is "partial 16S ribosomal RNA". It matches the Rfam family "Bacterial small subunit ribosomal RNA", at positions 333 to 643 of the family's 1533-position model. The record is from RNAcentral.
UAUUCCCUACGGGGGGCAGCAGUGGGGAAUAUUGCACAAUGGGGGAAACCCUGAUGCAGCGACGCCGCGUGAGCGAUGAAGUAUUUCGGUAUGUAAAGCUCUAUCAGCAGGGAAGAAAAUGACGGUACCUGACUAAGAAGCCCCGGCUAACUACGUGCCAGCAGCCGCGGUAAUACGUAGGGGGCAAGCGUUAUCCGGAUUUACUGGGUGUAAAGGGAGCGUAGACGGUCCUGCAAGCCAGAUGUGAAAGCCCGGGGCUCAACCCCGGGACUGCAUUGGGAACUGCAAGGCUA